This 442-nucleotide ribosomal RNA is filed under the name uncultured bacterium. Its description in RNAcentral is "partial 16S ribosomal RNA". It matches the Rfam family "Bacterial small subunit ribosomal RNA", at positions 338 to 795 of the family's 1533-position model. The record is from RNAcentral.
CCUACGGGCGGCAGCAGUGGGGAAUAUUGGGCAAUGGGCGCAAGCCUGACCCAGCAACGCCGCGUGAAGGAAGAAGGCUUUCGGGUUGUAAACUUCUUUUAAGAGGGAAGCGCAGAAGGCGGUACCUCUUGAAUAAGCCACGGCUAACUACGUGCCAGCAGCCGCGGUAAUACGUAGGUGGCAAGCGUUGUCCGGAUUUACUGGGUGUAAAGGGCGUGUAGGCGGGCUGACAAGUCAGUUGUGAAAUCCGGGGGCCCAAACCCCGACCUGCAGUUGAAACUGUUGGUCUUGAGUAUCGGAGAGGUAGGCGGAAUGCGUGGUGUAGCGGUGAAAUGCGUAGAUAUUAGGAGGAACACCAGUGGCGAAGGCGGCCUGCUGGACGACAACUGACGGUGAGGCGCGAAAGCGUGGGGAUCGAACAGGAUUAGAUACCCUUGUAGUC